Echinops telfairi (small Madagascar hedgehog) is the source of this 119-nucleotide small nucleolar RNA. RefSeq annotates it as small nucleolar RNA SNORA61. The record is from RefSeq and is a predicted model, not a curated record. NCBI's taxonomy places the organism in Eukaryota, Metazoa, Chordata, Mammalia, Afrosoricida, Tenrecidae. The transcript has a single exon.
ACCCUCCGGAUUCCUUACCCAUUAGACCCAAACACUGGUCUGAGUGGUUGUAAAAGGAAGAAAAGUAAUAUUGAAACUGACAAAUACUUUUGUGACACGCAAGCUAGUUUAUAAAAUUU